UCGGGGUGAGCGGCGGACGGGUGAGUAACGCGUGGGUAACCUGCCCUGUACACACGGAUAACAUACCGAAAGGUAUGCUAAUACGGGAUAACAUAUGAGAGUCGCAUGGCUUUUGUAUCAAAGCUCCGGCGGUACAGGAUGGACCCGCGUCUGAUUAGCUAGUUGGUAAGGUAACGGCUUACCAAGGCAACGAUCAGUAGCCGACCUGAGAGGGUGAUCGGCCACAUUGGAACUGAGACACGGUCCAAACUCCUACGGGAGGCAGCAGUGGGGAAUAUUGCACAAUGGGCGAAAGCCUGAUGCAGCAACGCCGCGUGAGCGAUGAAGGCCUUCGGGUCGUAAAGCUCUGUCCUCAAGGAAGAUAAUGACGGUACUUGAGGAGGAAGCCCCGGCUAACUACGUGCCAGCAGCCGCGGUAAUACGUAGGGGGCUAGCGUUAUCCGGAAUUACUGGGCGUAAAGGGUGCGUA
This 469-nucleotide ribosomal RNA is filed under the name Clostridium sp. MU01-5. RNAcentral's name for it is "bacterial SSU rRNA". It matches the Rfam family "Bacterial small subunit ribosomal RNA", at positions 86 to 573 of the family's 1533-position model. Lineage: Bacteria; Bacillati; Bacillota; Clostridia; Eubacteriales; Clostridiaceae. The record is from RNAcentral.